Molecule: ribosomal RNA, 429 nt
Filed under: uncultured bacterium
Lineage: Bacteria
Description: bacterial SSU rRNA
Rfam family: Bacterial small subunit ribosomal RNA
Source: RNAcentral
AGCGAACGUUAGCGGCGGGCUUAACACAUGCAAGUCGAGCGAGAAAGCGUCCUUCGGGGCGUUAGUAAAGCGGCGCACGGGUGAGUAACACGUGGAUAACCUACCCUUCGGCGGGGGACAACAGCUCGAAAGGGCUGCUAAUACCGCAUACGUCGGUGACGGCUUCGGCUGUUACCGGGAAAGGUGGCCUCGCAAGGGGCUAUCACCGGAGGAGGGGUCCGCGGCCCAUCAGCUUGUUGGUGAGGUAACGGCUCACCAAGGCUCAGACGGGUAGCUGGUCUGAGAGGAUGAUCAGCCACACUGGGACUGAGACACGGCCCAGACUCCUACGGGAGGCAGCAGUGGGGAAUAUUGGACAAUGGGCGAAAGCCUGAUCCAGCCACGCCGCGUGUGUGAUGAAGGUCUUCGGAUCGUAAAGCACUGUGGAGA